This 257-nucleotide ribosomal RNA is filed under the name uncultured prokaryote. RNAcentral's name for it is "partial 16S ribosomal RNA". It matches the Rfam family "Bacterial small subunit ribosomal RNA", at positions 524 to 780 of the family's 1533-position model. The record is from RNAcentral.
UACGGAGGAUGCGAGCGUUAUCCGGAUUUAUUGGGUUUAAAGGGUGCGUAGGCUGGUAAUUAAGUCAGUGGUGAAAUACUCCGGCUCAACCGGGGGGCUGCCGUUGAUACUGGUUACCUUGAGUUUAGAUGAUGUGGGCGGAAUGUGUCAUGUAGCGGUGAAAUGCAUAGAGAUGACACAGAACACCGAUAGCGAAGGCAGCUCACAAAGCUAUUACUGACGCUGAUGCACGAAAGCGUGGGGAUCAAACAGGAUUA